Molecule: ribosomal RNA, 497 nt
Filed under: uncultured bacterium
Lineage: Bacteria
Description: partial 16S ribosomal RNA
Rfam family: Bacterial small subunit ribosomal RNA
Source: RNAcentral
GAUGAACGCUGGCGGCGUGCCUAAUACAUGCAAGUCGAGCGAACGGACGAGAAGCUGGCUUCUCUGAUGUUAGCGGCGGACGGGUGAGUAACACGUGGAUAACCUAUCUAUAAGACUGGGAUAACUUCGGGAAACCGGAGCUAAUACCGGAUAAUAUUUUGAACCGCAUGGUUCAAAAGUGAAAGACGGUCUUGCUGUUACUUAUAGAUGGAUCCGCGCUGCAUUAGCUAGUUGGUAAGGUAACGGCUUACCAAGGCAACGAUGCAUAGCCGACCUGAGAGAGUGAUCGGCGACACUAGAGCUGAGACACGGUCCAGACUCCUGCGGGAGGCAGCAGUCGGGUAUCUUACGCAGUGGGCGAGAGCCUGACGGAGCGACGGCGCGUGAGUGGUAGCGGUCUUCGGAUCGUGAAACUCUGUUAUUAGGUAAAAACAUAUGUGUAAGUAACUGUGGACAUCUUGACGGUACCUGAUCAGAAAGCCACGGCUAACUACGUG